UUAUAGUAAAUGGAGAUUAGGGUUAUCCUAAUCCCCAAAUAACCCUAUCUUCUCCUAUCUUUUCCUUUCGUACAACCCUACAUUACCCUACGCAAUAUUACCCUACACAAUGUUUGGCUGAUUUCCCCAUUCUCCUCUUCGGGUGAUUUUCUUCCCUUUUCCUUUGAUUUCUUCCUCAUUUUUCGUUGACUUUUCCCUUUCCUCUCUGUUGUGAAUCAAAUGAAAGCAAAUCUCGAUUUCCUUCCUCCCAUUUUCGAUGUUCGGUCUGUUCUAUUCGUCUUCAAAUGGUCGUCGUACUACUCCCUCCGAUUUUCUAUCCCUGUCGUUGAAACAUAUUUUUGUUUUGUGACGGUUGCAUUUCGGCGUUACCUCCAAAAUGGUUCUUAUCCUCUAUCUGAUGAUUUUGUUGACUGGUUGCCACAAAUGUGCGUUAGCACCCAAAACAAUCCUUUCUCUCCAUCUUUCCAUUAAUGGCUCUGCCUUUUUUACCCUCAUAAUUUUUUCGAUGAACCUUGCCCUUUCCGACCCUUGUCGCUCCGAGAACGCAUUCGCUGCACUUUUGUUUCGACCCAAGGGCAUUUUAAAUGACAGAUGCUACACGAACUGAAUGAACGAAAGCUGAGUAAGGAAAUAGUGGAGCAUGAAAGGGUCGCUGGUCAACAAUGAAGGUUAUAAUGUUUAAACCAUUCGUAAAAGAUGUACUAUGGUUAUAGCUAUGUACAUUUAAAAAAUCGUUCUAUUUUGGUCUAGUUAAUUGAGUUUUGUAAUAAAUUCCUUUGUUUCUUCCGUCUUUAUGACUAUUUAUUAAACGCUAGCUAUAAUUUCCUUA
Cucumis melo (muskmelon) is the source of this 829-nucleotide long non-coding RNA. RefSeq lists it as uncharacterized. The transcript is spliced from 2 exons. NCBI's taxonomy places the organism in Eukaryota, Viridiplantae, Streptophyta, Magnoliopsida, Cucurbitales, Cucurbitaceae. The record is from RefSeq and is a predicted model, not a curated record.